Molecule: ribosomal RNA, 429 nt
Filed under: uncultured bacterium
Lineage: Bacteria
Description: bacterial SSU rRNA
Rfam family: Bacterial small subunit ribosomal RNA
Source: RNAcentral
UGGGGAAUAUUGCGCAAUGGGGGAAACCCUGACGCAGCGACGCCGCGUGAGCGAAGAAGGCCUUAGGGUUGUAAAGCUCUGUUUUAAGGGACGAAUGUCGUGGGGAGUAAUAUGCUCUGCGAAUGACGGUACCUUAAGAGGAAGCCCCGGCUAACUACGUGCCAGCAGCCGCGGUAAGACGUAGGGGGCGAGCGUUGUCCGGAAUUACUGGGCGUAAAGAGCACGUAGGCGGGAACUUAAGUCAGGUGUGAAAGACCGGGGCUCAACUCCGGGGUUGCACUUGAAACUGGGUGGCUUGAGGGCAGGAGAGGAGAGCGGAAUUCCUGGUGUAGCGGUGAAAUGCGUAGAGAUCAGGAGGAAUACCAGUGGCGAAGGCGGCUUUCUGGACUGUCCCUGACGCUGAGGUGCGAAAGCGUGGGUAGCAAACAG